RNAcentral lists this long non-coding RNA (1613 nucleotides) under Nicotiana tabacum (common tobacco). Its description in RNAcentral is "long non-coding RNA (NTAB_LNC005410)". The record is from RNAcentral. Lineage: Eukaryota; Viridiplantae; Streptophyta; Magnoliopsida; Solanales; Solanaceae.
GAGCACAUGAUUCGUUUAACACUGCAAAUGAUCUCAAAACUGAAAUAGUAUGAUUUUCAGAAGUGUAGAAAACAAAACAUAUGCUGAAAACUAAUGCUCAUGUAUUUCCAACUUCCAACAAAUACUUGGAUUCUUCAUUUCGUAGGUCAAAAGAGAAUGAACAAUACCUGGAAAUUGGAAAGAAAUCAAAAUGUAAGGAGUUAGUGAUCUACAGCAGCAACAUGAUUCAACACCCAAAUUCAGUAAAACAGCAAAAAUGGCCAACUAAAGCCAAUGGAACAGUAGCUACCCAACAGAAUUCAACCCAAAACUUAAAGAAAUCCAAAUUUAAGCCAUCUCAAACAUGGAAAGAAUCAGAAAAUGUUUCAAUCACUGAAAACUUCAACGCUCAAAGCUGAGAAAUCAAUGGAACAAUUUCAGAGUUUCAGCCGUGAGUAUUUUUCAGAAUUGUUUCUCUUGAAGUUUGCCUUCCAAAGCAAGAAAAGGUGCCAUUAUAGACAAGUAAAUAGGGCAAACUUCAGAUUUUGAUUUUGCAUUCUAGCCGUUUUCAAAUUUUUAUUUUUGCCUAGAUAUCCUAAUUAAAAAUCUAAAAAUAACAUUAGACCCCCCACCCAUCUUCCUAGAAGUUUCUCAAACCGUUAUGUAAGAGAUUCCCUGAGCCAAUUACCUAAAUUAUCCCCCCCCAAACCCUGUUAUUUACUCUUAAGACAAAGCAGGGUCAGAUUGACCCAAAACCAAUUUUAAACUUGGGCUAACGGGCAUGUUUCCUUCAAGCAACGGGCUACUGAACAACAGACCUCAAACCCAGCCCAAACAAACAAAACUCAAGGGAAUUAAAAGUCCAAUUCAGGACAGUGACAACAUACAUAAUUAAUCAAAUUCCUUUUCUUCUUCCUUUUUAAAACGCUUUAGCCUGAAAUUAACACUAAGUUAUUAACUAGCAUAUCUAACUUAAUCCUACAGAAAAUGAGAAGAAACUGAUGACUAAAGAUUGAACUAAAAAGAACAGAACAAGGUAGAAAAUACCUAUGCAAUCCAUUUUAAACUUCAGAAUCCUCAAAGACGAGGCUGACCCGACAUCGAAACUCCAGCGAAUUCAAAAUCUUGACCAAAUGGCGAGAAUUGCAACACGAAUAUUAGUCAAACUUUUGUUCAUAGCUAAUAAUUCGUGCCGCAAUUCUCAUUACAAGCCAGGAAAGGAACGAGGCAGAAUCUUGAAGAAAUUGGGUCGUUUGAGGUUGAGUGUCUGAAAUCGGGUCAGAAACAAGGGAAAGGGCGUUCUUGACAUGAAAUGGCCCCCCUUUUUUAUGAAAACUGAGGAAUUCAUGCUGGUUUUAACAAGAACUGAGGAUGUAAUCCGGAAAUUUUAGGCAAAAAGGAGAAAGCUUGGAUUUUUAAUCUUUGAUCUGAAAUUCGGAAAAAUCUAGUGGUCUUUUGGAAAAAAUGGUGGCAGGACAUGAAAGAGGGGACGAUGGGGGUUGUCUAGUCGAAAUUUGGAUGGAUUUGGAAGUGCUCCGUCGCCGUGAGGCGAUUUCCUGACGACAGAUCUAUGGUGGGAAGGGGAGGUGAUUUCAGAGAGAGGAUUAGGUUUUGGGCUCAGGAGAUGGGGAUUA